RNAcentral lists this ribosomal RNA (809 nucleotides) under uncultured bacterium. RNAcentral's name for it is "bacterial SSU rRNA". It matches the Rfam family "Bacterial small subunit ribosomal RNA", at positions 60 to 858 of the family's 1533-position model. The record is from RNAcentral.
AGUCGAACGGGCUUGGGGGCUUGCUCCCGGGUUAGUGGCGAACGGGUGAGUAAUAUAUCGGAACAUAUCCGGAAGUGGGGGAUAACGUAGCGAAAGUUACGCUAAUACCGCAUAUGCCCUGAGGGGGAAAGGGGGGGAUCGCAAGACCUCUCGCUUUCGGAGUGGCCGAUACCGGAUUAGCUAGAUGGUGAGGUAAAGGCUCACCAUGGCGACGAUCCGUAGCUGGUCUGAGAGGACGACCAGCCACACUGGAACUGAGACACGGUCCAGACUCCUACGGGAGGCAGCAGUGGGGAAUUUUGGACAAUGGGCGAAAGCCUGAUCCAGCCACACCGCGUGAGUGAAGAAGGCCUUCGGGUUGUAAAGCUCUUUCAGCCGGAAAGAAAUCGCACUUUUUAAUACGGAGUGUGGAUGACGGUACCGGAAGAAGAAGCACCGGCUAACUACGUGCCAGCAGCCCGCGGUAAUACGUAGGGUGCGAGCGUUAAUCGGAAUUACUGGGCGUAAAGCGUGCGCAGGCGGUUUGAUAAGCCAGAUGUGAAAUCCCCGGGCUUAACCUGGGAACUGCAUUUGGAACUGUCAGACUAGAGUGUAGCAGAGGGGGGUAGAAUUCCACGUGUAGCCAGUGAAAUGCGUAGAUAUGUGGAGGAUACCAAUGGCGAAAGGCAGCCCCCUGGGUUACACUGACGCUUCAUGCACGAAAGCGUGGGGAGCAAACAGAUUAGAUACCCCUGUUAGUCCACGCUCCUAAAACGAUGUCAACUAGUUGUUGGGGGAGAGGAGACUUCCCUUAGUAACGCAGCUAACGC